Molecule: non-coding RNA, 72 nt
Organism: Ophiophagus hannah (king cobra)
Lineage: Eukaryota; Metazoa; Chordata; Lepidosauria; Squamata; Elapidae
Source: Rfam
UGGAAGCUGGUUUCACAUGGUGGCUUAGAUUUUUCCAUCUCUGUAUCUAGCACCAUUUGAAAUCAGUGUUCU